GCCAGCGGUGCUCGAACUACAUAUAAAUGCGGACAAUAAUUGCGUACCCAAUAUAAUAUCGUGUGUUGGAUUUGUAUCAACUGGCAUAUUAUAAGCUGGACAAGAAAAUGUGAAGCACACCCGGAAUUAACGUGAAUAACGAAGAGAUCCAACAGAUGACAAUUAAAAUUUUUGAAACAAUUUUUUCGAUUCUUGACUUAUAAAGUGAGGCUGGCCAUGCACCUAUUGGUUUCAAUAUCCAUCGAUUGAAUUGUAUGCUGUAUUCGGAAAGAUUACCGAAUUUCUUUUCGAUUUUUAUAAGAUCAUCUGCCAUCGUGCAGUCACAACAAAAUCGCGCAUGCAACUGAAUCGAGGAUUCGGUGCGCUGUAUUUAUCCAACGCUUGCGCAUACUUUGUCAAAGGAUAUGCGCCGAUCGAUUUGAUACAGUUAAUGAAACUUAUUGAUAGUAAUGAAAUUUGCAGAUAAUCUGUGUAAUACAUCAACGUGUGACCAACCAAAUUAUUUUCAACAAAAAAAUACACAAAAUUAAUUAUAGAUUUUGAAAACGAAAAUCUUAACAAAUAUAUAAUUAAAUUUGGAAAAUAGCAUACCG
Molecule: long non-coding RNA, 593 nt
Organism: Apis dorsata (giant honeybee)
Lineage: Eukaryota; Metazoa; Arthropoda; Insecta; Hymenoptera; Apidae
Exons: 3
Source: RefSeq, a predicted model, not a curated record